AUUGAACGCUGGCGGAAUGCUUUACACAUGCAAGUCGAGCGGCAGCGCGGGGGCAACCCUGGCGGCGAGCGGCGAACGGGUGAGUAAUACAUCGGAACGUGUCCUUAAGUGGGGAUAGCUCGGCGAAAGCCGGAUUAAUACCGCAUAAGCUCUGAGGAGGAAAGCGGGGCUCCGUAAGGACCUCGCGCUGUUGGAGCGGCCGAUGUCGGAUUAGCUAGUUGGCGGGGUAAAGGCCCACCAAGGCGACGAUCCGUAGCUGGUCUGAGAGGAUGAUCAGCCACACUGGAACUGAGACACGGUCCAGACUCCUACGGGAGGCAGCAGUGGGAAUUUUGGACAAUGGGGCAACCCUGAUCCAG
Molecule: ribosomal RNA, 359 nt
Filed under: uncultured bacterium
Lineage: Bacteria
Description: bacterial SSU rRNA
Rfam family: Bacterial small subunit ribosomal RNA
Source: RNAcentral